Molecule: ribosomal RNA, 252 nt
Filed under: uncultured bacterium
Lineage: Bacteria
Description: partial 16S ribosomal RNA
Rfam family: Bacterial small subunit ribosomal RNA
Source: RNAcentral
UACGGAGGAUGCGAGCGUUAUCCGGAUUUAUUGGGUUUAAAGGGUGCGCAGGCGGCACGGCAAGCCGGCGGUCAAAUCGCGGGGCUCAACCCCGCCCAGCCGUCGGAACUGCCGGGCUAGAGUGGGCGAGAAGUGCGCGGAAUGCGUGGUGUAGCGGUGAAAUGCAUAGAUAUCACGCAGAACUCCGAUUGCGAAGGCAGCGCACCGGCGCCCUACUGACACUCAGGCACGAAAGCGUGGGUAUCGAACAGG